This 493-nucleotide ribosomal RNA is filed under the name uncultured bacterium. Its description in RNAcentral is "partial 16S ribosomal RNA". It matches the Rfam family "Bacterial small subunit ribosomal RNA", at positions 28 to 507 of the family's 1533-position model. The record is from RNAcentral.
GACGAACGCUGGCGGCGUGCUUAACACAUGCAAGUCGAACGGAAAGGCCUGCUUUCCCUUGUGGAUUGCGGGUACUCGAGUGGCGAACGGGUGAGUAACACGUGAGUGAUCUGCCCCCAACUUGGGUAUAAGCCUGGGAAACUGGGUCUAAUUCCCGAUAGGACUGCAGGGUGGUGCCUGUGGUGGAAAACGAUUUUCUAGUGGUUGGGGAUGAGCUCGCGGCCUAUCAGCUUGUUGGUGGGUAAUGGCCUACCAAGGCGGCGACGGGUAGCCGGCCUGAGAGGGUGGACGGCCACAUUGGGACUGAGAUACGGCCCAGACUCCUACGGGAGGCAGCAGUGGGGAAUAUUGCACAAUGGGCGGAAGCCUGAUGCAGCGACGCCGCGUGGGGGAUGACGGCCUUCGGGUUGUAAACUCCUUUCGACCGCGAGGAAGCCACCUGGUUGGAAGGGUGGUGACGGUAGUGGUAGAAGAAGCACCGGCUAACUACGUG